RNAcentral lists this transfer RNA (76 nucleotides) under Clostridiales bacterium. RNAcentral describes it as "tRNA-Ala". It matches the Rfam family "tRNA". From Rfam's summary of the family: Transfer RNA (tRNA) molecules are approximately 80 nucleotides in length. Their secondary structure includes four short double-helical elements and three loops (D, anti-codon, and T loops). The record is from RNAcentral. Lineage: Bacteria; Bacillati; Bacillota; Clostridia; Eubacteriales.
GGGGAUAUAGCUCAGUUGGGAGAGCGCUUGACUGGCAGUCAAGAGGUCAGGAGUUCGAGCCUCCUUAUCUCCACCA